GGUCCCAUCGUCCAGUGGUCUAGGACACCGCCCUUUCAAGGCGGCGACACGAGUUCGAACCUCGUUGGGACCGCCA
RNAcentral lists this transfer RNA (76 nucleotides) under Synergistaceae bacterium. Its description in RNAcentral is "tRNA-Glu". It matches the Rfam family "tRNA". From Rfam's summary of the family: Transfer RNA (tRNA) molecules are approximately 80 nucleotides in length. Their secondary structure includes four short double-helical elements and three loops (D, anti-codon, and T loops). Lineage: Bacteria; Thermotogati; Synergistota; Synergistia; Synergistales; Synergistaceae. The record is from RNAcentral.